Molecule: ribosomal RNA, 250 nt
Filed under: uncultured Chroococcidiopsis sp.
Lineage: Bacteria; Bacillati; Cyanobacteriota; Cyanophyceae; Chroococcidiopsidales; Chroococcidiopsidaceae
Description: partial 16S ribosomal RNA
Rfam family: Bacterial small subunit ribosomal RNA
Source: RNAcentral
CUAGCUGUAAACGAUGGAUACUAGGCGUUGAGAGUAUCGACCCUCUCAGUGUCGUAGCUAACGCGUUAAGUAUCCCGCCUGGGGAGUACGCGCGCAAGCAUGAAACUCAAAGGAAUUGACGGGGGCCCGCACAAGCGGUGGAGUAUGUGGUUUAAUUCGAUGCAACGCGAAGAACCUUACCAGGGCUUGACAUGUCCGGAACCCUGCCCAAAGGCGGGGGUGCCUACGGGAACCGGAACACAGGUGGUGC